AGCUUUGUGCAGUGGUAGUAUCAUAGCCCGUGAGUUUUAUACAAGGUGUAAUUAUUGCUAAUUGAAUACUUUGCCCCCCAUACGAUGACUUGCAGUAUAGUCAGGAUUGGCAAUUUUUGAUGAUCUCUACAGAGA
Otolemur garnettii (small-eared galago) is the source of this 135-nucleotide small nuclear RNA. Its record names the gene U4. It matches the Rfam family "U4 spliceosomal RNA". From Rfam's summary of the family: U4 small nuclear RNA (U4 snRNA) is a component of the major U2-dependent spliceosome. The structure of U4 snRNA from yeast and human has been reported. The record is from Ensembl. Lineage: Eukaryota; Metazoa; Chordata; Mammalia; Primates; Galagidae.